CAAGCGGUGGAGCAUGUGGUUUAAUUCGAAGCAACGCGAAGAACCUUACCAGGUCUUGACAUCCUCUGACACUCCUAGAGAUAGGACGCUCCCCUUCGGGGGACAGAGUGACAGGUGGUGCAUGGUUGUCGUCAGCUCGUGUCGUGAGAUGUUGGGUUAAGUCCCGCAACGAGCGCAACCCUUGAUCUUAGUUGCCAGCAUUCAGUUGGGCACUCUAAGGUGACUGCCGGUGACAAACCGGAGGAAGGUGGGGAUGACGUCAAAUCAUCAUGCCCCUUAUGACCUGGGCUACACACGUGCUACAAUGGAUGGUACAAAGGGCUGCAAAACCGCGAGGUCGAGCGAAUCCCAUAAAACCAUUCUCAGUUCGGAUUGUAGGCUGCAACUCGCCUACAUGAAGCUGGAAUCGCUAGUAAUCGUGGAUCAGCAUGCCACGGUGAAUACGUUCCCGGGUCUUGUACACACC
This 466-nucleotide ribosomal RNA is filed under the name uncultured bacterium. RNAcentral describes it as "bacterial SSU rRNA". It matches the Rfam family "Bacterial small subunit ribosomal RNA", at positions 926 to 1391 of the family's 1533-position model. The record is from RNAcentral.